Molecule: long non-coding RNA, 713 nt
Filed under: Gallus gallus (chicken)
Lineage: Eukaryota; Metazoa; Chordata; Aves; Galliformes; Phasianidae
Description: long non-coding RNA NONGGAT003917
Source: RNAcentral
CUGAUAACAUCAGGCUUUUGAGAUUUGUUUUCCUGAGUUUGUUCAGCAACUAUUGCACUAACAACACCCAUUGCAAGAGAUCCCGUCUGCUGAGCUUCUCAUUAGGUCUGUGAGUUACGUCCCAGCCUUAAAGAGACUCAGAGUGCUUGACAGUCACCUAUGGUGCCCAGAUUUGGGUGUCCGGUGCCAUUUUAGGCAGCUUUGGCUACCUGGGAUGUCAGUGCAGAGCUGGUAGAUGUGACGUGGGACCUACAGGACGCCCUCGCUCCGUGUGAUGGCAGCCAGAGGCCUGGCUUCAGCUUGAGAUCCAGCGUGGCACCAUGAACCUCCAUGGCCCUACUUGCCCCAGCAGGACUGCUCAAGGAACAAAUCAGCUUUCAGGACACAGAGGGAACCUAGCCAGGCUGCAAGGACAACACCGUUGUGAUCUGACAGAGCAGACAGCCCUUGUGUUCAGGCUGCUUGCAGUCCCAUGUCUGAAGGAUCGUGCUGCAAAGCAAGUCAGCUACCUGCAGGAGCACAGAGAGGAGCUUAGUGAGUCGGGCCCACAGGGAGAAGGCAGGAGGGGUCGGAACAUCAACUGGAUCAAGCAAACAGCCUUCAGAGGAGUCAUCACCCUGCACUGAUCUCUUGCAUUUCUGAGAGUCCCUGUAAGCAGAUUUAUUUGUCUAAAACGUGGCUGACUCUACCCAAAUAUUGUUGUACCUCUGGAG